GGUAAUAGGUGACAGACUUGUUAG
This 24-nucleotide non-coding RNA is filed under the name Arabidopsis thaliana (thale cress). The record is from RNAcentral. Lineage: Eukaryota; Viridiplantae; Streptophyta; Magnoliopsida; Brassicales; Brassicaceae.